CUGUCCUCAAGGAAGAUACUGACGGUACUUGAGGAGGAAGCCCCGGCUAACUACGUGCCAGCAGCCGCGGUAAUACGUAGGGGGCUAGCGUUAUCCGGAUUUACUGGGCGUAAAGGGUGCGUAGGCGGUCUUUCAAGUCAGGCGUGAAAGGCUACGGCUCAACCGUAGUAAGCUCUUGAAACUGGGAGACUUGAGUGCAGGAGAGGAGAGUGGAAUUCCUAGUGUAGCGGUGAAAUGCGUAGAUAUUAGGAGGAACACCAGUUGCGAAGG
Molecule: ribosomal RNA, 270 nt
Filed under: Clostridioides difficile
Lineage: Bacteria; Bacillati; Bacillota; Clostridia; Peptostreptococcales; Peptostreptococcaceae
Description: partial 16S ribosomal RNA
Rfam family: Bacterial small subunit ribosomal RNA
Source: RNAcentral